GCAUAUCAAUAAGCGGAGGAAAAGAAACCAACAGGGAUUGCCCUAGUAACGGCGAAGUGAAGCGGCAACAGCUCAAAUUUGAAAUCUGGCUCUCGGGCCCGAGUUGUAAUUUGUAGAGGAUACUUUUGAUGCGGUGCCUUCCGAGUUCCCUGGAACGGGACGCCAUAGAGGGUGAGAGCCCCGUCUGGUUGGAUGCCAAAUCUCUGUAAAGUUCCUUCGACGAGUCGAGUAGUUUGGGAAUGCUGCUCUAAAUGGGAGGUAUAUGUCUUCUAAAGCUAAAUACCGGCCAGAGACCGAUAGCGCACAAGUAGAGUGAUCGAAAGAUGAAAAGCACUUUGAAAAGAGAGUUAAAAAGUACGUGAAAUUGUUGAAAGGGAAGCGUUUAUGACCAGACUUGGGCUUGGUUAAUCAUCUGGGGUUCUCCCCAGUGCACUUUUCCAGUCCAGGCCAGCAUCAGUUUUCGCCGGGGGAUAAAGACUUCGGGAAUGUGGCUCUCUCCGGGGAGUGUUAUAGCCCGUUGUGUAAUACCCUGGCGGGGACUGAGGUUCGCGCAUCUGCAAGGAUGCUGGCGUAAUGGUCAUCAACGACCCGUCUUGAAACACGGACCAAGGAGUCGUCUUCGUAUGCGAGUGUUCGGGUGUCAAACCCCUACGCGUAAUGAAAGUGAACGCAGGUGAGAGCUUCGGCGCAUCAUCGACCGAUCCUGAUGUUCUCGGAUGGAUUUGAGUAAGAGCAUACGGGGCCGGACCCGAAAGAAGGUGAACUAUGCCUGUAUAGGGUGAAGCCAGAGGAAACUCUGGUGGAGGCUCGCAGCGGUUCUGACGUGCAAAUCGAUCGUCAAAUAUGGGCAUGGGGGCGAAAGACUAAUCGAACCUUCUAGUAGCUGGUUUCCGCG
Molecule: ribosomal RNA, 895 nt
Filed under: Fusarium thapsinum
Lineage: Eukaryota; Fungi; Ascomycota; Sordariomycetes; Hypocreales; Nectriaceae
Description: LSU rRNA
Rfam family: Eukaryotic large subunit ribosomal RNA
Source: RNAcentral